This 253-nucleotide ribosomal RNA is filed under the name uncultured bacterium. RNAcentral describes it as "partial 16S ribosomal RNA". It matches the Rfam family "Bacterial small subunit ribosomal RNA", at positions 524 to 776 of the family's 1533-position model. The record is from RNAcentral.
UACGUAGGGGGCAAGCGUUGUCCGGAUUUAUUGGGCGUAAAGAGCGUGUAGGCGGCUUUACAGGUCCGUUGUGAAAACUCGAGGCUCAACCUCGAGACGCCGGUGGAAACCGUAAGGCUAGAGUCCGGAAGAGGAGAGUGGAAUUCCUGGUGUAGCGGUGAAAUGCGCAGAUAUCAGGAAGAACACCCGUGGCGAAGGCGACUCUCUGGGACGGUACUGACGCUGAGACGCGAAAGCGUGGGGAGCGAACAGG